AUGGGCGUCCAGCUGCAGUUGUUGCUGGACCGGCCCUGGCUGCCUUGAGAGAGUCCCUUCGGAUUUGCGCCAUGCGCGGCGGGGAGAACCGGCCUCCUGCUCGAGUUCAGAGCUCAUCUGAGGAAUUGGAAUUGAGACACCAAAGCCUAGACGCGUUUCCUGGACGACGGCUUCCCGGCAGGGGCAUCCAGCCAGCGGCCAAGAUGUCGUCAGUGGGGAAGGUGACCCAGGUUCCGAAUGGGAAAGCCUACCAGCAGAUCUUCCAGGCUGAGGUGCAGCUGGUCCACUCCCUGGCGGCCACCAGGAAGCGGGCUGCAGAGCGUUCUGUGACCCUGAAGAGUGGCAGGAUACCCAUGAUGAAGAAGGUGGAGACUCCUGAAGGGGAGGUGAUGUCUCCCCGACAGCAGAAGUGGAUGCACAGCCUCCCCAACGACUGGAUCAUGGAAAACCCUGUUCUCCACAGGGAAAAGGAAAGAGCCAAGAGGGAAAAAGCCCAAGAGAGUGAGAACACCAUCGCUGCCCGAGAAGUGCGGGGUCUCAUGGAUACUAUAGUUCCUGAGAAGAUAAGCACCAGCACCUUUCAAAGGCGAGCAGAACACAAGAGGAGGAGCUACGAGAGCGCUCUGGCCAGCUUUCAGGAGGAGAUUGCGCAGGUGGGAAAGGAAAUGGAACCUCUCAUCGUGGACACAGGGGGACUUUUUUUGAAGAAGCUGACUGAGUCUGAUGAAGAAAUGAACCGUCUCUUCCUAAAGGUGGAAAAUGACACCAACCUUGAGGACUACACCAUCCAAGCCCUGCUGGAGCUGUGGGAUAAGGUGGCCGGGCGGUUACUGCUCCGGAAGCAGGAGAUUAAGGAGCUGGAUGAGGCCCUGCACUCGGUGGAGUUCUCCCGAGCCGAUAAACUAAAAAGCGUGUUGAAGAAAUAUGCAGAAGUCAUAGAGAAAACUUCCUACCUCAUGCGGCCCGACGUGUACAGGCUGAUAAAUGAAGAAGCCAUGGUCAUGAACUAUGCCCUGCUGGGCAACCGGAAGGCUCUCGCCCAGCUGUUUGUCAACCUGAUGGAGUCCACCCUGCAGCAGGAGCUGGACAGCCGCCACCGCUGGCAAGGCUUGGUGGACACCUGGAAGGCUCUCAAGAAGGAGGCCCUGCUGCAGAGUUUCAGUGAGUUCAUGGCCAGUGAGAGUAUCCAUACUCCCCCGGCUGUGACGAAGGAGCUAGAGGUCAUGCUGAAGACCCAGAACGUCCUGCAGCAAAGGCGGCUGAAGCACCUCUGCACCAUCUGUGACCUCCUGCCCCCCAAUUACAGCAAAACUCAGCUGACUGAGUGGCAUUCUUCCCUCAACUCCCUGAACAAGGAGCUAGACACCUACCACGUGGACUGCAUGAUGCGGAUCCGCCUGCUGUAUGAGAAGACGUGGCAGGAGUGCCUGAUGCAUGUGCAGAAUUGUAAGAAGCAGCUGCUGGACUGGAAAGCCUUCACUGAGGAGGAGGCAGAGACCCUGGUGAACCAGUUCUUCUUCCAGAUGGUGGGAGCGCUCCAGGGCAAAGUGGAGGAGGACCUGGAGCUCUUGGACAAAUCCUUCGAGACUCUGGCAGAUCAGACAGAGUGGCAGAGUUCGCACCUCUUCAAGUAUUUCCAGGAGGCGGUACAACUGUGGGAGGCACACCAGAGCGAGCUGUUGGUGCAGGAGCUGGAGCUGGAGAAGAGGAUGGAGCAGCACCGGCAGAAGCACAGCCUGGAGAGCCAGGUGCAGGAGGCCCACCUCGAUAGGCUCUUGGACCAACUGAGGCAGCAAAGUGACAAAGAAACACUGGCGUUUCACCUGGAAAAGGUCAAAGAUUAUCUGAAGAACAUGAAAUCCAGGUAUGAAUGUUUUCACACCCUCCUGACAAAGGAAGUGAUGGAGUACCCAGCGAUCAUGCUGAAAGAACUCAACUCCUACAGCUCUGCCCUCAGCCAAUACUUCUUUGUGCAUGAAAUCUUUGAACAGAACUUGGCUGGAGAAGUCAUUUUCAAAUUCAGGCAACCAGAAGCACAUGAAAAACCCUCCCAGAAGAGAGUGAAAAAACUGAGGAAGAAGCAAGGGUCUAAAGAGGACAUGAGCAGAAGUGAGGAAAGCAUAAGUAGUGGGACAAGUACUGCCAGGUCAGUAGAAGAGGUGGAAGAAGAAAACGAUCAAGAAAUGGAGUCCUUCAUAACUGAAGAGGUGCUGGGGCAGCAGAAAAAAUCUCCACUGCAUGCUAAGAUGGAUGAGUCCAAAGAAGGCUCUAUUCAGGGACUGGAAGAAAUGCAGGUUGAAAGAGAGGGCUCCUUAAACCCAUCCCUGAAUGAGGAGAAUGUGAAGGGUCAAGGAGAAAAGAAGGAGGAGUCAGAGGAGGAAGAUGAGAAGGAGGAAGAGGAGAAGGAGGAGGAGAAGCUGGAGGAAGAGAAGGAGGAGAAGGAGGCACAGGAAGAGCAAGAGAGUUUAUCUGUGGGUGAGGAAGAAGACAAGGAAGAGGGUCUAGAGGAGAUAUGCUAUGAGGACAUGGAGUCCUUCACAAUCUCCAGUGGAAACACUUAUUUUGUCUUUGUACCCCUGGAAGAAGAAGAGCAUUGCAGGAAGUCCCAUUCCACCUUCUCAGCCAUGUUCAUCAACGACACUUCCAGUGCCAAGUUCAUAGAACAAGUGACAAUUCCAUCGAGACUAAUUUUAGAAAUGAAGAAACAGUGAGUAAAAAACUAUUUUAUUCUCAUCCUGAUGUUCUGAGUUUUGUAAACAAGGUGAAAUAUUAAAAAAAAAAAAGGA
RNAcentral lists this small RNA (2786 nucleotides) under Pan troglodytes (chimpanzee). Its description in RNAcentral is "retained intron". Lineage: Eukaryota; Metazoa; Chordata; Mammalia; Primates; Hominidae. The record is from RNAcentral.